RNAcentral lists this ribosomal RNA (407 nucleotides) under Verrucomicrobiota bacterium. RNAcentral's name for it is "Verrucomicrobia bacterium partial 16S ribosomal RNA". It matches the Rfam family "Bacterial small subunit ribosomal RNA", at positions 355 to 776 of the family's 1533-position model. The record is from RNAcentral. Lineage: Bacteria; Pseudomonadati; Verrucomicrobiota.
UGGGGAAUAUUGGACAAUGGAGGGAACUCUGAUCCAGCAAUUCUGUGUGUGUGAAGAAGGUUUUAGGACUGUAAAACACUUUGAGUAGGGAAGAAAAAAAUGACGGUACCUACAGAAGAAGCAACGGCUAAAUACGUGCCAGCAGCCGCGGUAAUACGUAUGUUGCGAGCGUUAUCCGGAAUUAUUGGGCUUAAAGGGCAUCUAGGCGGUAAGACAAGUUGAAGGUGAAAACCUGUGGCUCAACCAUAGGCUUGCCUACAAAACUGUUGAACUAGAGUACUGGAAAGGUGGGUGGAACUACACGAGUAGAGGUGAAAUUCGUAGAUAUGUGUAGGAAUGCCGAUGAUGAAGAUAACUCACUGGACAGAAACUGACGCUGAAGUGCGAAAGCUAGGGGAGCAAACAGG